This 168-nucleotide ribosomal RNA is filed under the name Basiseptospora fallax. RNAcentral describes it as "partial 18S ribosomal RNA". It matches the Rfam family "Eukaryotic small subunit ribosomal RNA", at positions 1665 to 1830 of the family's 1831-position model. Lineage: Eukaryota; Fungi; Ascomycota; Sordariomycetes; Xylariales. The record is from RNAcentral.
CACACCGCCCGUCGCUACUACCGAUUGAAUGGCUCAGUGAGGCUUUCGGACUGGCCCAGAGAGGUCGGCAACGACCACUCAGGGCCGGAAAGUUAUCCAAACUCGGUCAUUUAGAGGAAGUAAAAGUCGUAACAAGGUCUCCGUUGGUGAACCAGCGGAGGGAUCAUU